Molecule: non-coding RNA, 8663 nt
Organism: Podarcis lilfordi (Lilford's wall lizard)
Lineage: Eukaryota; Metazoa; Chordata; Lepidosauria; Squamata; Lacertidae
Source: the annotation of a GenBank genome assembly
GGGGAUUAAAGAGGACGGAGGGGAAGAACCGCCUGCGUCACUUUUGCUCCUUGGGGAAAAAGGCGGCAAUCAAUAACUGCUGAAUUGGCGCUUGCCAGGAAGUUCGGUUUUAGAUCAUGGGGUUUUAUUCCUUUACCAACGUUAGUUACUGUAUUAUGCCAGGAUAUUUGUGUUAUCCUCAACAGCGUUGAAUGUAUAAAUGGCCACUGCAAUUAUUCUAGAUCGUUUUAAGCUGUAGUGCAACUGUUGCAUUUUAUUUCCCUCUGAGUGUACAACUAACAUUCUCUCCCUGUAUGUGUGCAUAUACCAGCCAGGUAAUACUCCAUCCAUCUGAUUAAAUGGUCUCAAGUCCACACACAUACAUACAAAAACAUUUGCCUUUGAAGUGCCACAAGACACUGUUUUUGUUUUAAUUGGACUGAAAAUGCCAUCCCUAGAAAUAGUCAAGAAAUGUUCUUGGCUUCCCACUUCUGGGAGCUCCAGUGAUGAGCUGCAGGGGAACUGGUAAAUGGUUCAGCUUCCUGCUGGAUGAGGCCUUGGGGGGUGUGGUGUAGUGGUUAGGGUGCCAGAGUAGGACCUGGCGGCCUGGGGCUCAAAUCCCCACUCAACCAUGAAGCUCAGUGGGUGACUACAACAGGUUUCUUGUGGGGAUUACUGUGUAUGCCACCUUGAGCUCCUUGGAGAAAAAGGUGAGAUAUAAAUUAAAUAAAUAAAGGUGUGUAUUUACAAGUAUGCAGGUGGAGAAUGGUGGAUCAGCAUCUCACUAGAGCCCCCAAGGCAGUUGAAAAACCUGCUGCUGAUUCUCCCCAAAAUAUUUUCUAUGUAGCUUUCAAAUGCAGCGUAACCUUCCCAGCUGAUGCAAGAAUAUCCCGCUUGUUCAAUAAAGUUCUUUUAGCCAUCAGUUAGGAAACUUUAGAAUGAUGAUUGUCAACAAGUUCAUUAAAGUAUGCAACACAUAGUGCAUUGCCAAAUUUGUUUGCAAGCAAGUAGGCAAUGCAUGAGACUGUGAUGAGCCUAUUUAGUUCCUGCUGAGUUUGCAACAUUAUAAGCCAUUGUUGGGGAUAGCAUUGCGUUGUUUGUGGAACGAUUUUGCUGUCUUGAGUGAAAAGACAUAUGUGAAUUAGCUUGGAAGGGUCUAAACCCAUCAGGAGAAGAAUAUUGAUCUACUAGAGACUCGUAUAAGUUGCUAAGAAAUGUGCUUGUUUUGCUUGAUGGAUGGGACAGUAGCCUGAGCAGCAAAGGGAGCAUCACUGUCAAAAGAAACCUAGAAAUAAGUCAUUCACAAUGGGCCCCUAACAAACAUCUUUUUUAUUGCAUGGUCUUGAUGACUUGUGCCCAUGAUGCUAUUUGGGUUAAACCACAGAGCCUAGGACUUGCCGAUCAGAAGGUUGGCGGUUCGAAUCCCCACGACGGGGUGAGCUCCCGUUGCUCGGUCCCUGCUCCUGCCAACCUAGCAGUUCAAAAGCACGUCAAAGUGCAAGUAGAUAAAUAGGUACCACUCCGGCGGAAAGGUAAACGGCGUUUCCGAGCGCUGCUCUGGUUUGCCAGAAGCGGCUCAGUCAUGCUGGCCACAUGACCCGGAAGUUGGACGUCGGCUCCCUUGGCCAGUAAAGCGAGAUGAGCACCGCAACCCUAGAGUCAGCCAUGACUGGACCUAAUGGUCAGGGGUCCCUUUACCUUUACCUUAUAUUAUCCCACUUUCUAUACUCUUUGCACCGUUCUGUCCUUUAACUACCUGAUAGAAUCUCAUAACGUUUUAUAACACAAAUAUCAUGGGGCAGAAGGCCAGGGCUUCGUGCAGUAUGAUGACCCAGGGAGGCUGGUUGAGCACAUUUUGAAGUAGGAAAAAUAAUACCUGUUGCCACCUAAAGAGUGACACCCCUCAUAAGAUCAUUAAGUCUAGCAUCUAAAUUGAUCUAACUGUACCACUGAUGGUCCAGAUCACAGGUUUUGCUUGUGAGCACAGAGGGCUUCCUCGUGUGACCUGGGGCAGUGGAGGUGAUUUCACAGCCUGGCUAUGAUGGUCAAACGCCUGGCAUUGCUGCACACUGGGAAUUCCAUCCAGUCCUGCCUUGUUGAGAUUAGCAAGCCAUUGUUUUUUGUUUUUUUAAAAAAAUAUUUUUUAAAGGAUUUUCUUGUUUUACAGAAGUAAGUGUAGUGCCUCGUAUUUUUUUUCCAUGUAACAUUUUUACAAAUCCGUUUCAUUUGUUGAGGCAUUAGGGGGAGAAGAAAUAAAAGAAAAAAGAAAGGGGGGGUGGAGAGAGGGAAGAUGGAUGGGGGUCUUCCAAGACAACAAUGCCCAUUUAGCAAGCCAUUGUUUUAUCAAUUUUUAUUUGGGAAUAAAACAUGCAUGAGCCAGGAGACCUGCCAUCUUCAGAAGGGCUUUUCCUCAACUUCAAGGAUUAAGGACCUUACUUUAACAAGUCACUUAAAUCAGCCUCUGCUUAAGAGCCUAACUGUGAGAAUAAAGCAGCACUUCACAUCUGCUCAGGGGUGGCUGUCUCUGAAUAAAGUAGCCGCCUUCUUCCCCCAAGACCCAGGGGAAAGCUAAGAAAAUGCAGAUCUAAUGGGUCAAGCUGGGGUUGGUUUGAUAAUACAGUUCAAUUAAUUUCUAACAAUCUUUGCCACAGAUAGCUUGCAAAAAUGACAAAGAACUAGAAAUACAGUAUAAGCAAAGAUACAUUGAAUAUAAUUUUUCUAUCAAACAAACAGAAAGCAACAGCACUCAAGACUUGCUGAUUCUGUGUUAUUCUUUAUGUCUUGCUGUUUUGGUUGUUCGUUGAGUUGGUGUAAUUAAUUGCUUUUAAUUAUUAUUGCUGUAUUCUGUUUUAUCAUGUUGUGCACUGCCCCGUGCUUUGUGAGAGGCAAUAAAUAAAUAAUAACAAUAGUAACAGGGAUAGCUUGUGCCAAUGUCUGAUAAAGAAGGAAAAUUCAGAACAAAGGCCUGCUUCCAGGCCCCUGGCCAUUUUCCGUUCAUACACAUUUGCUUAUUUAUGCUGCUGCAUGUCACCCCACACCAAAGUGCUCUGGGUGGCUUAGAAUAAAUGUACACAAAUGAAAGCUGAUGCACGAUUCUUCCCAAUGAGGUUUGUUAUUAUUUAUUAUAAACCUGAUCUUCAUGUAUUGGGAAUCAAUGUAGAGGUUUGAACAUUUGUAGGUAAUGAACACUAUAUAUGUCUUGUGGAAAAGCAAACAAUUAUGCAGUUUGCAAGUGAUGGACACACACUUUUUAUUGUAUGAAUAUGAUCGCCAUUUAGAAAAAGUGUCACAGGCAAGACUGCACACUUAGAAGGGACAUGGAUCCCUUUGGACUUUGGAGACACACAUUCCAGCUGCCCAUGAUUAGCCCCUACCUUAAAGCGGGUGUCAAGAGAUUCUUCUGUCUCCAUGCAUAAUUCUGACCUCCCUGUUGAGUGGGAGGUUGAGGUCAAUAAAACUCCAAUACCAGACCAGGCUGGCUCCCUACCUGCUAUAGAGCAGGCUACCUUCUUUCCUUUUGUAAGUGACCCAACUUGGAGUGUGUAGGUCUCUUCUUGGGCUUCUCUUAAAACUCUUUGCUACUCACAUGCAUUGCUAAAUUAACAAGAGCCUGCCUUAACUCAUCAGACUAGCCUUGAGUAUAGCUCCUUGUCCCAAUCCAGCCUGAAUUGCCUUCCUCAUCGCAGCCCAUAGAAAUAGGCGGCAGAGAACCCUCUUCCCAUCCCUGCUGUUUUAUCAUGCGCUCUGCUAACAGCCCAUUUAUCAGAAUGAUGAAGGGGGCUCUCUGGAGAGAGGACAUGGCUCAGGCAGUGCAAGUGUGAAUGACAGUCCGUCUGCAGAAGAUUGACGUUAAUGAAACUUGGAAUAAACAGGAAGAUGAAGAGGGUGGAGAAGCCAGCCAGGGAGCUCGGCUCAUUCUGCAAGGGAGAAGGAGCUCACUGUACCAUCCUGGUUGGCUUUCAAUUUGCAAAAGCUGCCUGUCCUUUUGUUGCAAAAUAGCAAGAGCCAUGAAGGCUCCUCUGACUUGAAGCUGCCUGGGCUCUUUACACCUGGCCUAGAUGUCUGGAACCUGGUGUGCAUGUAUGCCUAUACCAGCAUAUGGGACAAGCACGCAAGGAACGAGAGGAGGAGGGAAAUUCGUCACUACUCCUCAGGUUGCCCUUGCUCCUCACCCAUCUCAGAUGCAGGUGGAUUCCACUGUUAUUAUUUAUUACACCUGUUCAUCAACUUUACAAAGUCUCAAAGCAAUUUUUACAAAAAUUCUAGGAUGGCCCAGUCAAAUCUGGAUGGUUGAUGGGUAUGAGUUGUCAGUUCAGCUCAUUCAUUGCCACACCUGCUUUGGUUGUAGGCUGCAGGGAACAUCCACAAACUGCGAUUGGAAAACUGAGGGAGGGCAAGUCUCUUCCCUGUAUUUUCCACCCAUGCUAGAUUAUCACAGGUUGACACCUGCCCUUUCACCAGCACCAACAGCAGUUGCUGUGGAACCUGGCCUUAAUGAGCUGACUUAUUACAUGGUUGUAGGUGUGAUCCAGGAAAACCACAGAAAACUUAAAAUGCAAAACUCCUGUGAUAUCCUGUGUUUCCAGGCUUGAAAGUAGAUUCCCCACCACACCCCCAACAUAAGUGCUAAACUCUGAUUAGAUUUCCAGAACAAAAAUUGAUAGGUAAGGCAACAAGGGGAAGACAAUAGAAAGCGUCUGAAUGCAGCCUUAGUCUUUUUUUAUCCAUUUCCCCCCGAAGAGAAGCUGGGAGGCCUGUACUUGUAUCUGUAUGGAGGGGUGGAGUACAAAACAGGAAAACCAAGAAGAAGAAAGAUUAACUUCCUCUGUCUACUUUUUGUUCAGAGCCCAGUAGAGGCACAGAUCUCUCAUUUUAUAAUUAACAGCAGUUGCAAACUAUGGAGAGCCUAUGGAUAAGUUAAAAGUAAAUUAGGUUGCAGAUAUUUCUAACUGUCAGAACAUGUUUUCCCUUCACCUUAUGACUUCAGCUAGAGACAGAUACCCCUACUAUCCUUUCCCAAAUGGAAGCACUCUACCUUUUAUUUAUUGCACAUACGUCCCAUAUUCUUUCUCCAAGGAGCCCAAGAUGGCAUACACAGUUCUCUCCCUCUCUCCUCGUUUAAUUCCCACAACAAACCCGUGAGGAAGCUUAAUCUGAGAAGGAGUGACUGGUCCAAUGUAACCUAGUGGGCUGCAUGGCCAAAUGAGGAUUUGAACCCUGGUCUCCCAGGUCCUAGGCCAGCACUCUACCCACUAAACCACACUAGCUUUUGCCAGCUGCUUGGCAGUUGAAAUUACAGGUAAAGCUUUUUUUAAAAAGAUGUUGGCAAAAGCUGUACCUGCUCCCUUUCUCCUUACCACACACCUGCCAAUGGCCCAGAGCCAAGGUCAGAACGCAAAGUCUCAUCUUCUUCCAGCUGCUUCAAUGCAACAACCUGAGUUCACCAAGUAAUCUACCGCAGACCAGAGAAGAAACAUCAAGGUUGCAAAUCUGCAUUUUUGUCGGAAGAUGGCAGUAGAGCUCAAAGGAAUGGAACCUGGCUGAUAUGGGAGAGCUUUGGGAAUUUUUCUGGAACUCCUCUGAGGGCAGGAGGGGUUAAGAAGCUUGUCUUCUGUUUAUAGCUAUCUUUCUUGACAACAAAGUACAGCUUUCCUACAGGCAGUGACAGGGAAAUGGUAUCAUUGAUUCUCUGUGUGUCCUUGUGGCUAGGAUUCUAUUUAGGAUGCAAAUUGCCAAUAGCAUUCCUAAUGCAGAGCCAUAGUUUAAAAAGAAUAGCUGUUUUUAAAUAAUUCAAAUAGAAAAGGCACUGAAUAAAGUGUUAAAUCUCCUUAAGAGCCAAAAUUUCAUGCAUUGUUAAUAGCAAGGCUCUCUCCAAAACUAUUUUCAACUUCGCUAAAUAUACACACAGAAUUUUUACACUCUGGAACCACUAUUGGAAACAGAAUUUACUAUUAGGUUUAUCAAGUAGGUCUGCUUCUCCAUAACAUCUGAAUCAGGAGAGACUAUGAAAGCUCUAGAUCACUGAAUGCAGUGAUGGACUGGACAGGGACCAAUAAACGACUUGAAUCUUAGGAUACCAGAGACUCAGAGUGGGAGGUUCCCAUGUCCAGGAGAUAGGCAUGUUCUGGAUGGAGUAGCAAUCUCUCUGAAGGAGCAAGUGCUUAACUUGGUGGUAUUGCCUGAUAUGUCACUAGAAGCCUAGGCGUCUGGUUUGCAACCAUUUCUGAGCAGAGAUAACUUGACCACUGUCUGGAUUGAGGCUGGAUUACUGUAAUGCACUCUAUCGUGGGGCUGCCCUUGGGCCUGCUUCAGAAGCUCCAGUUGCUGCAGAAUGUAGUAGCCAGAAUGCUGACGGGGGCAAUUGUGUAAUAACAGGCAGCACUACUGUUAAAUAAAUGUUUUCACAAGUUAGCUGAUUUAUAAUUUUAACUUUCUAAUGGUUUUCAUUGCAUGGUUAUAUGUACAAUAUGUUGUGAACCACUGAUGUUUUCUUUAUGAAUUAGAGGUAUAUAAGUAUUUUUUAAAAAAUUAAAAACAAAUCACUGAAAAGUAGGCUGGAGGACACCAAUGCUGCCCCAUUGAUUGUUGAAGUGGAAAGCAGACUAGGUGGCCUGGAAAAAGCAUGGAAUGUUGGCUGCAUUCUCCUAUAGGGUAGAACUAGUGUUAUGAACUAAGGACGAUGGCAGGCAGGCAGUAUUGACGAAAACAGUAAAACAAGUCUACAAACAGCCAGUAGAGAGCCCAACCUCAUGAUGAUGCAAAGUGGUGUAGUACUACAUAAGCAGGACUGGGGAAAGAAUGUUUUAAGAGGAGAUUGGCGAGUUGCAACUAGUGAGUUGCAGCAACACUACCAACAUACAAAAUAGUGUACCAAAUUAAAAAGUUGGUUCCUAAAUGCGUAUUUGGACUAAAGACAGGUCCUUGAUCUGAGAAAGUUGAGGAGCGCUGCUAUACAGCAUGUACAUCCAGCCUUUGAGACAUCUUGCUACUCAUGGAGAAAUAUGAACAGCACUCUGUAUUAUUCUACAUGAAUGGAAAUGGAAUUGAGGCAGGGCCUGAUAUUUGAAAUGAUGACGACAGAACUGGCAGUAAGCAUUUGAAGGCAGGUGCCAGUAUGAACUAUGAACAAGCAAUCAUGUUAAGAAUGUAGAACAUCAAAUCCUCCAUUCAGAGCCCUCGGGAAAUCCUGAUGAUUUGGUUUUUUUAAAAAAAUGCAAUGUCCUUGUCGUUGCAGUAAAUCACUUCAAAAAAAUUGCAGGCACGGUUGUUACAAAACCCAGGUCUAAAUUCUUACUCGGCCACCGAGCAGACAAUAUGACUUUAGAUACAUUUUCUUUCCCUGCAUCACAAAGCUAACUCUGGGAGCACUUGGAAGGUCUGGUUGGCGUACGUCUGUCUGGGGAGACAAUGGAGCACGCCUUUGCAGCUGAAAUCAAACUUUUGGAAGGUUGCAGCGCCUGCUGUGACUUAUAUGGGAGACACACGUUUUUUUGCAGCUGGGGCAGAUGGAGGCGUCCGGCUGCGCUGCUGCAGAUGCACCAUGGCCUUUCUUCUUGACACUCCUCCCAGCGGUCAUUUCUCCUUUGGUCACUGCUAUGGAUGCUCAGCUCGACACUGCAGGAGUCUGCAGGAGAUUCCCCCACAGUGGGGUUGAUGUUGGCAGACUUCAUGUCAUGUUUGCAGACACACACACACAACAAAUUCACAAAAGCUGGUAGGACUGGGUACGUGUUCCAAUGUGGGUCAAAAUCAGAUGUUCGGUCAUUGGGUCUGUGAAGAUGGAUCUAAAGUGGUGCUCCCAGAUAUUGUGCUGAGACACAAUGAUUUGGCGCUCAGGAUCAAGAGCAUAAACCUCUUGAAAGCGGCUGCUAGGUGGUUCAUUUAAGAGUUGUAUGCUUUUAGGAUCCACCCCAUUUUUGUGAUUGUACUUUGUUUUAGAACAGUUUGUAAUGUUGUAUUCUAGAUUAUUUUAACAUACUAUUACUAAUUAUUUACUGGAGUAACAACCCCCGAAUGUGGAUGCUAGAAUUAGCCCUAAUGGAAGAGGCACUUGCAGAGUAAAGCAUUAAACACUCUCCCUAAACCCAGAGGGAAGAUCUGUAAUCCAGAUUCAACUAUAAUUAGUUUUCUUCUCGUUGUAUUUUAAUUAUUUUAUAUUGAAAACUACAUUGAAGGACAGCCAUGGGCAAGUAAGCUGGUUGUAAAUUUUUGAACACUACAAUAUUUCUGGGCAUAUGAGAAUUGCCAUCUGUAGCCACUGGGGUUUCAGGGGAGUCUGUUUUAAUUCUAGGAAAUCAAGAUAAUGACACAAGUUCUUCCUGAUUUGUGAGGCUAUUUUUAGAUAAAAAUGAGGCUGGUGUGCUCUGAGCCUUUUCAGAAUUGCAUGAAGCCUCCCAUGAUCCCUCCACUGAAAUUUGGGCAUAUGCUAUGCCUGUGUGAGGUGCCACCACUGGCACUUGUCAGAAGAAUUAAAUCUAAAACAUGUUUACAGCUCUGCUCUAGUCAUCAGGUUCCCUUGAGCUUCAUGGCUAGAUAGAGUUCUUCUUCCUCUCUUGCUCUGUGAAGUAUUUAAUUUCUUUUUUUGUUUUAUGUGCGUACUUCUGCUUGCAGGUGCAGGCAAGGAAAAAAAAUCACCACAUCCAGAUGUUCUGAAACACCCAUCGCAUACACAAUUCAGAUUAAGG